GAUGAACGCUGGCGGCGUGCCUAAUACAUGCAGGUAGAACGCUGAAGGAGGAGCUUGCUCUUCUGGAUGAGUUGCGAACGGGUGAGUAACGCGUAGGGAACCUGCCUGGUAGCGGGGGAUAACUAUUGGAAACGAUAGCUAAUACCGCAUGACAACAGUUAUUGCAUGAUAACUGUUUAAAAGGGGCAACUGCUCCACUACCAGAUGGACCUGCGUUGUAUUAGCUAGUUGGUGAGGUAACGGCUCACCAAGGCGACGAUACAUAGCCGACCUGAGAGGGUGAUCGGCCACACUGGAACUGAGACACGGCCCAGACUCCUACGGGAGGCAGCAGUAGGGAAUCUUCGGCAAUGGACGGAAGUCUGACCGAGCAACGCCGCGUGAGUGAAGAAGGUUUUCGGAUCGUAAAGCUCUGUUGUAAGAGAAGAACGAGUGUGAGAGUGGCAAGUUCCCACUGGGACGGUAUCUUACAAGAAAGCGCCGGCAACCUCCGG
Molecule: ribosomal RNA, 494 nt
Filed under: uncultured bacterium
Lineage: Bacteria
Description: partial 16S ribosomal RNA
Rfam family: Bacterial small subunit ribosomal RNA
Source: RNAcentral